CCGGGUCAAUGGACAAAGCCAAUGCAAUGUUACGCGACUCGGGUUCGCAUGCUUAUUUUUAUUUAUUAUGGUAAUCAGUCUAUUUCCGGCAUCAUGUAACAUUUAUCGUUAUGAACAUUGAUGUUUUUACUUACUGAACAUUGGUUUCUUUUACAUAAAUUAAACAUCUUUAUACGUUUUGAAAUUAAUUUAAUGUUUUUGUUGGAUUUGAACUUUGUCUUGUAUAUUUUUUUACUUGUCCACGGGCAACCAAGACAAAAAUAAUUACUUGUCCGGUUGUUCAAAUGUACGAGUCGGGCGAGUCGGGCAUAGCAUUUCCACACCCCUGAACAUACGUAUGUUAUCACAUUUCUUUGAUUUUUUAAUCCACAAUAACAAAUGUAUGUUAUUUUCCUGUAAUAACCCUAUAGAG
RNAcentral lists this long non-coding RNA (412 nucleotides) under Mytilus galloprovincialis (Mediterranean mussel). Lineage: Eukaryota; Metazoa; Mollusca; Bivalvia; Mytilida; Mytilidae. The record is from RNAcentral.